This 207-nucleotide ribosomal RNA is filed under the name uncultured bacterium. RNAcentral's name for it is "partial 16S ribosomal RNA". It matches the Rfam family "Bacterial small subunit ribosomal RNA", at positions 568 to 774 of the family's 1533-position model. The record is from RNAcentral.
UGCGUAGGUGGUUAAGUAAGUUAUCUGUGAAAUCCCUGGGCUCAACCUGGGCAGGUCAGAUAAAACUGUUUAACUCGAGUAUGGGAGAGGGUAGUGGAAUUUCCGGUGUAGCGGUGAAAUGCGUAGAGAUCGGAAGGAACACCAGUGGCGAAGGCGGCUACCUGGCCCAAUACUGACACUGAGGCACGAAAGCGUGGGGAGCAAACA